This 117-nucleotide ribosomal RNA is filed under the name Pteropus alecto (black flying fox). Lineage: Eukaryota; Metazoa; Chordata; Mammalia; Chiroptera; Pteropodidae. The record is from RNAcentral.
GUUUAUGGCUAUGCCACCCUGAACAUACCUGAUCCCAUCUGAUCUCAGAGGCUAAGCAAGGUCAGGCCUGAUUAGUACUAAUGAAAGACCGCCUAGGAAGACCAGGUGCUGUAGCCA